Molecule: long non-coding RNA, 242 nt
Organism: Pezoporus occidentalis (night parrot)
Lineage: Eukaryota; Metazoa; Chordata; Aves; Psittaciformes; Psittacidae
Exons: 3
Source: RefSeq, a predicted model, not a curated record
CCCACCACCACCACCAGCACAAGCACCCCCACCCCCCCCAGCGGCGCCGUGGGGCUGAGCCUGAGCCCGGGCAGCUCAGUGCUUGGGGUGAGCGCGGGGCUCAUGGCCACCAACCCGCUGGCCACCAUCCAAGCCUUGGCCACUGGUGGGACCCUGCCCCUGCCCAGCCUUGAGCCGGGGGGGCCCCUGGUGUUGGGGGGCAGCGGGGGGGCCCCCAGCGCCCCCCCCAUGGCCCCUCCCCC